Molecule: ribosomal RNA, 497 nt
Filed under: uncultured bacterium
Lineage: Bacteria
Description: partial 16S ribosomal RNA
Rfam family: Bacterial small subunit ribosomal RNA
Source: RNAcentral
GAGGAAUGCGGGCGGCGUGCCUAAUACAUGCAAGUCGAGCGAACGGACGAGAAGCUUGCUUCUCUGAUGUUAGCGGCGGACGGGUGAGUAACACGUGGAUAACCUACCUAUAAGACUGGGAUAACUUCGGGAAACCGGAGCUAAUACCGGAUAAUAUUUUGAACCGCAUGGUUCAAAAGUGAAAGACGGUCUUGCUGUCACUUAUAGAUGGAUCCGCGCUGCAUUAGCUAGUUGGUAAGGUAACGGCUUACCAAGGCAACGAUGCAUAGCCGACCUGAGAGGGUGAUCGGCCACACUGGAACUGAGACACGGUCCAGACUCCUACGGGAGGCAGCAGUAGGGAAUCUUCCGCAAUGGGCGAAAGCCUGACGGAGCAACGCCGCGUGAGUGAUGAAGGUCUUCGGAUCGUAAAACUCUGUUAUUAGGGAAGAACAUAUGUGUAAGUAACUGUGCACAUCUUGACGGUACCUAAUCAGAAAGCCACGGCUAACUACGUG